This is a long non-coding RNA of Carassius auratus (goldfish), 894 nucleotides long. RefSeq lists it as uncharacterized. NCBI's taxonomy places the organism in Eukaryota, Metazoa, Chordata, Actinopteri, Cypriniformes, Cyprinidae. The transcript has 5 exons. The record is from RefSeq and is a predicted model, not a curated record.
UCAUCACGUACAAUACGUCCGGCGCGCGCUUGAUAUACAUUCAUGAGAGUUGAAGUCAUCGGUCUUUUCACCGACUGUGUUGCAACGUUGCGCCAUUAAACGAAUCCAAAAACAUCGGUCAAAAUGAGACUAUGCUCAUACAGGCCCAUUGCUAAGAGGUUAAAGCCAGUAUUGAUGAUGAACAAGAUGGACCAUGCAUUGCUAGAGCUGCAGCUGGGCCCUGAAGAGCUGUACCAUACUUUCCAGUGCUUUCAUUCGAGAACGUCAACAUGAUCAUCUCCACAUAUGGCAAGAAUGAGAACGGACCUAUGGGCAACAUUGUGUCGUUGAAACUAUUGGCUUUGGAUCUGGACUGCUUUCACUUUGAAGCAGUUUGCUGCCAAUGGUGAAGCACAGCUGGGACCAGCUGAAUGGUGCAAGAAGGUGGAGAACUUGAAGCUUUGGGGAGAUUGGUACAUUUAACCCUUCCUCUGGGAAGUUGUAGCAAGUCUUCCGCACCAGAUGGAAAAAGCUUCCCAGAACUUGCCCAUUUGAUGCUGGACCCUACUUUAAAAAUAUUUGAUGCCAUCACACACUUCGAGGGAAACCUCUAAACCGAUUGAGAAGAUGGACAUCAGAUAAAAUCCUGAGGGCAAGACGAACACUAUGGAGAUUUAGAUGAAUUCAAAACGUACAGUCAAGAUCUGACUAUGGUUUUAAAAUGCCUUAUUGAAUUUUGGACCAACAGGCAAUUGUGGUUUUUCUAUGUUCCUAGUGAAACUGGAAAUUAAUGUUUUGUGCUUAAACCGUCAAAUACAAUUGCGCAAUUUAUGUACUGUGUACAUGGCUUGUAUCCUAAUACAUAUUGUGUGCUUGCUGUAGUAUUAAAAGAGAUUAGCAACCUCAAAGUAAAAA